GGGCACAUGGUGUAGUUGGUUAUCACGCUCGCUUAGCAUCUUAAUUUGCGAGAGGUGUUGGGUUCAAUUCCCAAUGUGUCCA
This is a non-coding RNA of Phlegmacium glaucopus, 82 nucleotides long. The record is from the annotation of a GenBank genome assembly. NCBI's taxonomy places the organism in Eukaryota, Fungi, Basidiomycota, Agaricomycetes, Agaricales, Cortinariaceae.